GAUGAACGCUGGCGGCGUGCCUAAUACAUGCAAGUCGAGCGAACGGACGAGAAGCUUGCUUCUCGGAUGUUAGCGGCGGACGGGUGAGUAACACGUGGAUAACCUACCUAUAAGACUGGGAUAACUUCGGGAAACCGGAGCUAAUACCGGAUAAUAUUUUGAACCGCAUGGUUCAAAAGUGAAAGACGGUCUUGCUGUCACUUCUAGAUGGAUCCCCGCUGCAUUAGCUGGUUGGUAAGGUAACGGCUUACCAAGGCAACGAUGCAUAGACGACCUGUGAGGGUGAUAGGCGACCCGGGAACGGGGACGCGGACAAGAGGCCUACGGGACGCAGCAGUAGGGAACCUUCCGCAACGGGCGAGAGCAUGACGGAGCGGCGCGGCGUGAGAGAUGGAGGUCUUCCGAGCGGAAAACCCGGUUACUAGGGAAGAACAGAUGUGGAAGUAACUGUGCACAUCUUGACGGUAACGAAUCAGAAAGCCACGGCUAACUACGUG
This 497-nucleotide ribosomal RNA is filed under the name uncultured bacterium. Its description in RNAcentral is "partial 16S ribosomal RNA". It matches the Rfam family "Bacterial small subunit ribosomal RNA", at positions 28 to 507 of the family's 1533-position model. The record is from RNAcentral.